AGAAUCAACGCUGGCGGCGUGCCUAACACAUGCAAGUCGCACGAGAAAGGGGACUUCGGUCCCUGAGUACAGUGGCGCACGGGUGAGUAACACGUGAAUAAUCGUACCUCCGAGUGGGGAAUAACUGAGAGAAAUCUUAGCUAAUACCGUCAUAACACUUACGAGUCAAAGCAGCAAUGCGCUUGGAGAGGAGUUCGCGGCAGAUUAGUUAGUUGGCGGGGUAAUGGCCCACCAAGACGAUGAUCUGUA
Molecule: ribosomal RNA, 249 nt
Filed under: uncultured bacterium
Lineage: Bacteria
Description: partial small subunit ribosomal RNA
Rfam family: Bacterial small subunit ribosomal RNA
Source: RNAcentral